This is a long non-coding RNA of Cynoglossus semilaevis (tongue sole), 5926 nucleotides long. RefSeq lists it as uncharacterized. Lineage: Eukaryota; Metazoa; Chordata; Actinopteri; Pleuronectiformes; Cynoglossidae. The transcript has 16 exons. The record is from RefSeq and is a predicted model, not a curated record.
CAAAAAAAGUCAAUCCUUAAAAAUAAAUCAAUGACUGAAUUAAAAGUUGUCUUAAAACUUAAUCCUGGAAUCUCCAAUCUGUAAAGGAAAGUAUAGACUAAAAUUUUUUUCAAAAUGUCCCGACAUUUGCACAGGUGUAGGAGAAUCAUGUGUAGAGUAUGUAACACGCCAUGGUUUGGAUUCGGUUAUUUCUUGUUUGAGUCAUUCGGUGAAAUGUGUGGUUUCCUUCCGUGGUUUGUAAGUACGGAAGUAGAUUUUAAGGAAGCUAUCAGUUAGCCAUCAGGUUUGUUUGUGCUAAUGGGUUAAUCCCCCCCUAUUUUUGUGUAAUUAUACGUUUGGACCUCCUGGUUUUGGUGUGACAACGUCAAGACUGACUGUGGUCACCACUGCAGAUCGGGGGCGGGGGGUUGUUGCAGUCCGCUGAUGUGAGAGGCUGUCCUGAGCCUUUUUUUUUUUUUUUAAUGUCCAUAGUUUAUUUAGCUGUAAACACACGACCAGCCAUUUGAUCUUAUCGUUAGAGUUUUCUUAUUGAGAAAGAUAAUGGUUUACAGUUUAGGCUUUAGGUUUUGUUUGCAAAAUUGUGUAAAGUUCUUGUGUGUCUGGCCGAGUCUGCUGGACUUUUCAAAGCUGGCACAAUCAUAAUUUGCUGUUAAGUACGGCGUUACAGGUCAUUGUGAAUUUCCUUCAAAAUCGUAGUUCAUCAGUGCUGUCGUUUUCUCCAUUUUCACAUUUCAUCUCCACCAAACGUCACAGCUUUAAAGGGGAUUUAUUAUGGUUGGGUAUUUGAUUUUUAUAUACGCCAGAGGAUUUAAAGACAAUAUUCUUAGAUUAUUGACCCUACAGAGGUUCAGCUUGUUGGAUGUCAGUCCUAAACAAAACUUGGCUUUUUGUGUAAAUAUUUUACAGCAAAAAAAAAAGUCCUUUUGACGUCAUUUGAUAGGAACGUUGUUGUAAAGAUGAGGUGUUUAUUUAAAAAAAAAAGAGCUUAACAUGGUGAAAUUAACUGUCUUUUUAAGCAUCGACUUUUUUUGAGGGACUUGAGGAGAAUUAUUGUCACACGUUGGUAGUGAUGAGCAUUUAGCUGCUGCAGUCAAGAUUGGAGUCAAGAAACUUUGUCUCGGUUUUGAGUCAAAUUUUGAAAAAUCAGAGAAAAAAAUUGCCAAAUAUAGUCUACGGCGCUAGAGAGAGAGCAACUAUUUCAUACCACAGGGUUUUUAGUCAUUACUUUUGAACUUUAAGCUCUAUUCUAAAAUUGCUUAUAUGCUUUGGAUAAAGUGACGGCCCAGGAAAGAUCACUGUCCUUUUCUAAAUCCAUAUCACACCUACAGAGUUGGCUGUUGACUCCACACCUUGUCUUUUAUUGGGGUUCACUUACAGUUGAUACCACGCAAAUCUCAUUUGACUUGAAUUUACUCUUGCUGACUUUGGCUCCAUUCAGGACCGACCACACACUCGUUUCUCGUCCUUCUCCUGACAUUGGUUUUGCUACACUAGGUUCCAGUGACAGGUAGCCUCUCCACACACCCACAUUUCUCCACCUUCUCCAUGUGAACUGUUAGAUACAUGCCUUGUUGUUGCUGCUGCUCCAGCCACCUUCUUCCUCUUGCUGAUUAUUGCAGCUAGAGUGGGAGGGAGCCAAACUGAGCCCUUGCCCUGGACGUUCGCCACACGCAGCAGUAGCAUGGAAUGGGGAAAACAGCAGCGUUAGGCCUGAAACUGCUGUGGACGAUGGGUGUCCCCCCCCUCUAAGCAGUAGAGUAGCAGCAGCAGUUUCUUUGUGCCGUCCAACAUCAGCUAAGGUCACAGUGAUCGCCGUGUGCCAUGUGGAAGUGCCAGCAGAAUGGAAACCUAAGCCUUGUAGCCACAGCAACGUUCAAAAGCAGAGACUACUGAGAGAGAGAGAAAGAGAGAGAGAGCACGUCUAAAAACACAUGAACAGCUUUACCUAUAUACAGAAGACACAGUGACAGUCCAGGAUGGACGGAGCGUGUGGUGGGGACGAGCCGUGUGAUGAAGAGAUCGUCGGACUGAUGGAGAACGGACAAACCACUGGAAUAAGUGAGUGUCUUGGUGGGGUGGGUGAAGCCACGUGUCGGCUCCGGCUCGUUUGGAGACCAGAGACGAUUUUCACUGUGUGUGUGAUGACUUUUAAUAGAUGGACGUCCCUCUGGUGGAGAGAGAGAGUCUUGGAUGCAGGUUCACGAAUUCUACCAGAGAUCAACUUGGACAGCUGCUCGUUUUCCGGCGAUCUUCAACCACCCGAGAUUCCAGAUUGUGUGGUUCCAACUCAGACAUGACUCUCACAGAGGAACUCAUCUGUUACGUAAGUACACGCUACCGAGAAACAUGACCCUGUUUGUCUUGAUGGGGGAAGCAUGUGCACACAAACACGUACAGUACAUGUACCAUUGAACAGACACGAUCAAUAGAAAACGCCUUCAUCCCCCAAUUGAUUAUUGCCCCUUUAACUGUACAUCCCAGCAAUGAUUUUAGGGUUUUUGUGCAGCAGGACAUUUGCUUAUACCUCUUAGGAGGUUUGUGCUCUCUCUAUAUAUGUAUAUAUAUAUAUACUGUUUAUCAUCACGGGGUCUCACUUGACCUUGGAUCGGCAACAAAAUUCACAUUAACAUUUAUCGUCUCAUUAAAUCCACCCCUGGUCUGGCUGUCUGAAAUAAUCUGUGUGUCAUCGUCUCGUGACCAGUGGAUUAUUCCCUCGGCUGCUUUUGUCAGAUUCUGGUCUUUGACCGUCUCCUCUAAUUGACCUUGAACUGCCCUGGACCACAGAGGUGUCCACUCCAUUAGAUAACCUUUGUCUCUCUCUCUAUGUCGAAGUGAGGAGUCUGCUGGAGUGAUUACCUGUCUAGUUUUUCUGCAGUGUGACUUGAUGUGUGGGUGGGUGGGAAGGAGGGGAUUAAAAGAUUCGGAUAUUCAAUAAGACAAACACCCAAGACAGUGUAGACGUGUUAGGAAUCUGAGUUAGUACUUGUCUGAUUGGCAAGAUUGAGAAUCAUCUCCAGUCUAACGCCCAGUCUCCACCUGACUCUCAGUGCAACGUCACUACUCCUUGAGCAGUGCCCUGGAAAAAAAACCAAACAAACAAAAAAAAACCGAACAGUUCUCUGUACAAAAGCCUGACAGACACACUAGAGAUUACGACACUACUGCUUCUACGCAAGCUACACGGUUGGGGGGGGGCAGACAGGAAAAGGGUGUUGCAUGAUAUUGCACAGCUGUGGGGGAGGAAACAACAAAAAUAAAAAAAAUAAAAAAUUAAAGGUACAGUAAGUACAACGACACCCCCCCCACUCACUCCCCCCAGAAUUAAAGUUGGUGUAAGAGGUUUGUGUAACAUCCAGAGAUGAUGCCUGGCUGUGGCUCAGUGCUUUCAUCAGUUAGUUCCAGUGCAGUAACACAUCAGUACCUGGUCACGCAGUAAAAUGGCGGCAGGUACUUAAAAGAGAAACGUACAGUACAGUAUCCAACACAGCUACGUCAAAACCACACUCGCACACCUAACACACAAACACAUCGGCGUGCCCGCAAGUGACGGUUCUUUCCACGCCAGAUCCUCGAUGUGAAGUUGGCAAUUUAGAACAAACCGAGUCUCGAAAAAAAAGGGACUCGACACAGUUAUGUUGGUGCAGCACAGAGAAAUGUAGAAAAACAAGACACACACACACACACCUUCAAAUCGAUUACUCCUGACAUCCUGAUGGAUAACACAUGACCGGGAAACCAAUCUGACCAGGAUGAUAAAAUCAACAACACGCACCUAGACACACACACACACACACACAUACACACACACACCCUUGGCAAGGAGCACAUUGAGUAAAGUGCCAGCAAACGAUCCAAUCAGAGAAAGAGACGACACCCUGUCCCAGGUUUGAUUCAGUUGUGUGAGAGUUUUGUACAGGAAGUGAUGUGUAUGAGGAGGUCAGGAAGUAGCAGCUGUGCGGCCGCACUUCCACAGAGCUCUCAGGUUUUUCUGAAGUGUUAUCACAGGUUGUUAUUUGCCAUCAGAGCGGGCAAAUUAAAUAGUGGAUGAGUAGGACUGACAAGGGCCGUCUGGAGCCCUGGCCUUUUCAGAUUCGUAGACAGAGGCCGGUAUCCACACGGGGAGCGGAGAGGAGAUUAGAAGGUGAGCGUUUCAAUCCUUGAUCCGCCCUCUGGUCCUUCGUAACUCUCCCCUCCCUUUUCCCUCUCUGCCUUCACCUUUUCGUCCUACUGCACCGGGAUUUGGUUCUGGAUGUGUUCUCCUCCGUCUCCUUCCUUCUUCUCCCCCGUCUCCCUCUCAGCUCUGCUGCCAUGGUUACGACAUCGUCUCUACAUGAAGUGCAUCUACAGGAGGACGGGUGGCGAGAAGGCUGGUUUCAUGUCAAGUUCCUGGAGUCUGGAGUCAGAGUCUAAAACCAGAGUACAACACUUCCCCCGGCACUCGUCGUUCCUGCUCUGUCUGUUGCUACGUCUGGCUGAUCCCAGGUUAGGUAAAAAAACAAAUCUGUAAAUGUUCAAGGCUUGUAAUCAAAGAGCAGAGCAGAGGUCGGUAUACCUGUGUCCCAGGGAUGGGUCCAAAGGGAUUAGAAGGUCUGAGAACAGGCUGGUUGUACAUGACAGGCUGUGGGGGCAUCAUGGGAACGCCCCCCAUCUGAUGACUCAUCUGAGGAGGGAGCUGGCGAGACAGAAGGCCACAGACUUUUUCCGAACCAUUUCCCUCAAUAAACGACCGGACGGAGUUGAAGGGUCAAUCAGACGGAAAUUUAAAGAUGAAGUUGGACGGAAUGAAACGGACGUGUUUGAAAUUAGGAGUGGACCAGAGAGGACGAGGAGACACGGAUUUCUACUGGUUAUUGGACUGACCACACCCUUAAAGUCGGCAACACGAAGAGAGAACAGGCAUAGGUGCAGGUGCCAUGGGGUGGGUGGUGUGAGUCCAGUUGGUGCUGGUGCACAUGGCCUUUGACUGCCAGCCACUUCCUCCUGUUGGUUUCUUCUCCACCAGCUGACUCCACUGCAGCUCAGGCCUGACGUACAGGAGCGGAGACGUUACAGCAGGUGUCCCCCCAAACUGCAGGUCUGGAAAAAUAAAAAGGUGAGACGUUAGGAGGCAACGUGAAGAGGUUAAAAAAAAAAAAAAAAAAUCAACCCAAGAAGCCGAGUACUCCUUUCAUUCAAGGACGUGAUGGGAAACAGGAGGAGGAGGAGGAGGAGGCUGUAUCAACAAACUCUGCACAAACAACAAACGCUGCGUCUCUCUGCAGCCUUUUCCCCCCGUGUUUACGCAGCGUGGGAUUACACACUCACUGGCUGUUGACAGGUACGAUGGAAGUCCAUAAAGAAUAUUGUAGCUUCACCACAACUGGACACAGGAACUGCUGCUCUGUCACCGCCUCUCAAAGAGAGUUUGUCGUCGCUGAGAGAUUUCAGGCUUUCGCUUUUAUAACUUUGACUUUCUAACCUCAUUAUCAAGGCCACAGAGCCUUCACAGAGCAUCGACCUGUUGAACGAAGCUGCAAAUCCACUAGGAAACUGUGGUUGUGUUUAUUCAGAGAGAACAGUCUGUUGUCGUCCGUCUUGUCGUCCAUGCGGCUGAGAGAGAUGCCAGUGCUGGAGAGAGAGGAAACUGCACUGGACAAGACUAAACCCACGCACUGUGGCUUUGGACAAAAUAAAGCCUCACUGAAUGAAUAAGGUUUGGUUGACCAGCAUGCACACAUCAGCCUCGGGUCAUGCAAGCAGGACUGACAGGUACGAACACAGAAGAGGAAAAUCACCACAAACAUCAGCGCUGAAAAGAAUCUCUACUGUAUGACCAGCCCAUGCAGACAGCUGCCAUGACACACACACUGCAAAAAAGGAACAAAGUGCACCGUGUGCAGCUGUGGUAUGGCAAACUGGCUCAACAGCGCCCCCCUAAAACCAUCUU